CCGGGGUCGCCUAGCCUGGUCCAGGGCGACACGCGGGAAACCCGUUGGCCGUAAAGGCCGCCCGGGUUCGAAUCCCGGCCCCGGCGCCA
This 89-nucleotide transfer RNA is filed under the name Thermofilum sp. RNAcentral describes it as "tRNA-Ser". It matches the Rfam family "tRNA". Rfam says of the family: Transfer RNA (tRNA) molecules are approximately 80 nucleotides in length. Lineage: Archaea; Thermoproteati; Thermoproteota; Thermoprotei; Thermofilales; Thermofilaceae. The record is from RNAcentral.